UGAUUUUCGUCAUAGUAGUCAUAGCGUAGUAAGGAUUCACUAUGGAGGUCCCUUACAAGUUAGAAGUGAUUGCUUUGACUACAAUCAUCAUUAAACUGGGUGUCUCAGUUUUCCCAUAUUCUGGCAAAAAUCAACCUCCAAAAUUUGGAGAUUAUGAAGCUCAAAGACAUUGGAUGGAAAUUACGGUUAACUUACCCAUACAGGAUUGGUAUAGAAAUACAACAGACAAUGAUUUAUUGUACUGGGGACUGGAUUACCCUCCUCUCACAGCAUAUCAAAGCUACCUAACUGGAUCGGUGGCUAAGAAAAUCAACCAAGACUAUGUAAAACUCCAUGUGUCUCAGGGAUUUGAAAACUUUGACCACCAAUAUUUCAUGAGGAUGUCCGUCCUUGUGUCUGAUUGUAUUUUCUUUGUCAGUGCACUUUAUUUUUACAUUAGAAGCUUGAAGAUGAGUAAUAAGUACAAAUGGGUUUUCUUUGCUUUGUCCUCACACUCUGGACUCACCCUUAUAGAUUAUGGUCAUUUUCAGUACAAUUGUGUUUCGUUGGGGUUGACCUUGUGGGCAAUCAUUUUUGUUUCUCAGGGAAAGAAUGUGUUAGCAGCAAUUGCCUUUUCAGCUGCCUUAAACUUUAAGCAGAUGGAGUUGUAUCAUGCAAUACUUCUAUUUGCUGGCUUCUAUUUGCUGGCUUCCUGUCAACCUAAAGGUUCCUCACUUCCCUCCCAACUAAAGAAUUUGGUCCAGAUUGGCGCUGCCACAGUGGCGACCUUUGCAAUCAUUUGGUAUCCAUUUCUUCAAAUUCAUGAUUGGCUUUUACAGCAAGUCAUCGUCAGACUCUUUAUUCCUUUUCAGCGUGGAAUCUUUGAAGACUAUGUCGCCAAUUUUUGGUGCACGCUAAAUGUUGUGAUCAAAAUCAAACGACUAUUAAACCCAACCUCAAUCGCCUCGGGAACUAUCACCUAGGCCAUGCCCGUGCCUGAAAGAAAAGUCAGGACGUUGAUUCGAACGGAUUCGAAUGCAACGAGCACUAAGUACGGUCACAUUAUUGGAGGAAUGACCGUGUGCUUGGUUCGUGAUUUGGAGUCACAAGUGAUAGCUGCAAGCUGAUAUCACUCGAACCACUGCACCAACCCGACUAAGCAUGAUCGAAAAAAGCUGCAGCUCAUUAUGGCGUCAGUUUAGCUUUAAUGCUAAAUUUCGCAAACACGGUGAACUAGAUUGACAAUAAUAAAAAAUGAACUUUAUUCGU
This 1248-nucleotide unclassified non-coding RNA is filed under the name Daphnia magna. RNAcentral's name for it is "dolichyl pyrophosphate Man9GlcNAc2 alpha-1,3- glucosyltransferase-like, transcript variant X3". The record is from RNAcentral. Lineage: Eukaryota; Metazoa; Arthropoda; Branchiopoda; Diplostraca; Daphniidae.